GGAUGUGAGGGUGAUCUGGCUGCAACAUCUGUCACCCCAUUGAUCUCCAGGGUUGAUUUGGCUGAUCUGGCUGGCUAGGCAGGUGUCCCCUUUCUCCCUCACGGUUCCAUGUGUGUCAUUCCCGAAGCUGCACACUCCGUGGAAAAGGACGACCAUCUCCCAUAGAGGAGGACCAUUCUUCAGUCAAGGGUAUAUGAGUAGCUGCAGUCCUCUGCUAGGUCCUCCAAACAAGCUCUCAAGAAGACAACAUAUAAUCAUUCCUCAGUAUCCAUGGGGAUUGGUUCCAAGACUCCCUACAU
RNAcentral lists this small nuclear RNA (299 nucleotides) under Castor canadensis (American beaver). Its description in RNAcentral is "7SK RNA (ENSCCNG00000019767.1)". It matches the Rfam family "7SK RNA". Rfam says of the family: 7SK was discovered as an abundant small nuclear RNA in the mid-70s but a possible function has only recently been suggested. The record is from Rfam by way of RNAcentral. Lineage: Eukaryota; Metazoa; Chordata; Mammalia; Rodentia; Castoridae.